CACCCAGGCGUCCCUGGAGCUCACUUUUAAACAAAAUGUUUAAAAUAUGCUCCCUUCGUCCAGAGGUGGAACCGAAUUCCCCACCUCUUGAGCAUGGGCUGGAUUUUAGAUUCCAGGACCCAAGUGCUCGGUGUGCUCACUGCUGCUGGGGUGUCACUUCCUGCAGGCCCCCAGCGCAGGCUGAGAACAGAUGAAGUAUUCACGCCUGCAUGCACACACGUACAUGUGCUGUGUGCACGUGUCUGCACAUCCACACCCACGCACAUCUCUGCGUUUCCCAAUUCCUGUGAAAAACCCGUGAGUGCAGACUGAUCCCGGCCAGCAGUGCGGCCUCACCUCCGCCCCCCUUCCCGUGUGCGGGAGCCUUCUCUCCAGCGGGACGAACGCCGUCUGAGCCCACAGGGCGAGUCGGUCCCCAGCCGCUAGCCCCAGGCUCAUGCAAACGACGCUGCAGACGAGAGCUCAGUAUUUGCGUGGCGCGGGUUUUGUCUUUCUCGGCAGCGUCUUCCGUCCAGGUGCUCUGUUCAGAAGUGAACUCAGGUCCCUUGUCCCUUCAGUAUUGUGUUUGAAAAUUGAAAUACGGUUUGGUGGAUUCUUUUGUUUCAUUGUAUGUUCCAUGUAGUGGGUCUUUAUGGCCACCCUUGUUCAUUUUGUUUGUUUUUGAGUUUAUGCCCGUCAAAGUGGUUGUUGACUGUUGAAGUCAGAACUGUGAAAAUCAGAAUCGCAACUGUGUCUGCACACAGACAGGUGGCGCCCCCAGCGGGCAUUACGUGUCACACAAGGACAGCCCGGUGUUGCGCGCGUGCUCGGCAGGCUGGCCAGAGCGGGAGGAGCAGCGGGGAAGGAAAGUGUUUAAUAAGUCAGGCCACUCUCUCUGCUGACUUGUCACUUAACGAAUCUUCUUCCUUCUCCAGGAAGGAUUUGAUGCCUUGGAUCCCUUUAUUCCCAUCCUGGUCUCCAACUACAGCCCAGAGGAGUUUGAAAGCUGUGUUCAGUAUUAUCUGGAGAACAGCUGGCUUCAACAUGAGAAAGCUCAGACAGAAGAAGGGAAGAAGGAGCUGCUGUUCCUGAGUAACGCAAACCCCGGGCAGCUGGAGCGGCUCUGCGCCUACCUUUAAGCCGCGGUGACGGCCCGCCUGGAAGACAGGGGACAUUUCCUGUCCUGGACCCAGUCAGACGGGAUGUGGCCAGGACGAGUCAGCUCCCAGCCUUCGGUGAAGACUGACAGUAGUGGCCUGAGAUGUCCUCUUGUUCCCGAAACUAGUUUAUUAGGUGGGGUUUUCAUGUUUUAAGUAAUUAUGGAUCUUUCCCUUAAAUAAAUUAUCUUUCUUAAAGUGUUAUGUUAGAUUUAUAAAA
This is a non-coding RNA of Leptonychotes weddellii (Weddell seal), 1356 nucleotides long. The record is from RefSeq and is a predicted model, not a curated record. NCBI's taxonomy places the organism in Eukaryota, Metazoa, Chordata, Mammalia, Carnivora, Phocidae.